AAAAUGUACAGUUUGAAUUGUAAAAUAAUGAGGAAGUUUGCAUGUUUUGUCGACACGCUGUUAGCAUCUGCGGGUGGGAAUGAAAGUGGAUAAGCAUUUGGAAAAUCACAUAGGAGUGACAAGUGUAACUAAUGAAAUGCAUAACUAGGCGGGAAAGAAGUUGCCAUAUUUAUUCAUAUAAAAUGGCACUUAUGUACAAGGACGUGUGCCAUGCCAAACAAUAGAUGAGCAGAAGUGGGAAAUUACACCAAACAAAAGAUGACAGCAAACAUCGCCCGGUGUGGACUACAAAAUCAGUAGUGCGUGAAAGAAAAUCUAGCCUGCAGUUUGCCGAACGAUCCAUCAGAGUUUGCAUCUGCAGCAAGAACAGCCUUUAUGGCAGCGUCGGUCCAAGCAGAAGCAGCGAACUUGUGUGGUGCAGGUAGGCCACCAACGGCGGUCAGUUCCACAGUGCUUAGGUCGAGGCUAUCAAGAUACGUAAGCUGAAAACGAAAAACAUAGAAGGUGGUGAGCACAUAAAAAUUAUUACUUGGAAAAAUCGAAUGCAGAAAACAAAAAAGGAUUAUGGUAUUGGAGACUAAAUUCCUAAAAAUGGUGAAAACUUGCCAUCAGGUGAAGACGGCACCCUUUGUUGUAUAUCCCUUUAGAAAGCGCGGUAUGGAGGAAACCAGCCUUGCACCAGUUCAUGUUGGCAACAUUGCUUAUGUUGGCCUGCAUUUUGAAAACCGACAAGAGAAUGGAGUCAUGAAAACUUGAAACAAGAAUUGUGCACAUAAAACAAAACAGACAGGAGAAAAGUAGUCAUGGUAGAAAGGUGGAAAAAAGUUGAGCAACACAUAUACUUACAAGUACUGGAAAGCAUCUGCUACUAAGGUGCGUGGAUGUCGUCGGCGCAAAAACAGUUGAAAUGAGGUACAUUAGCAGUAACCUCUUGAACUCUUCACCACUGCUGUCCAUCUCAGCAAGCAUAGUGGCUGCAACGGAGGUGAGCGGCAUUGAAGUCAUACCCGAAAACAUUUCAGGGAAAAGACGGUCCUGGAUUUCACGGUCCACCUUGUAUGGAACAUCCACUCCACCAUUUGGGACACCUAGAGUGCAGUAAACAGCGUCCUCGUCCAGAGGGAUCCUUCCACGGCGAGGGAUGACAAAUUCUUUGGACGCGGGAUUGUAUGUCCUCCCAAGCCAGUCGCAUACGCUGUUAUUCAAGUUGGUGCAAAGUGGGUUCAUGAGCGUGCACAUACCCAUGGUGUCAGCAGUUGCCUUCUAAUCAUCACUGAACUCAUUGUAGAGCUCCGUUAGGCGCUCAUGCGAUCCCCUAUUACGUGGGAUUUUCUGCCAGCAGAAAAGUGGGGCAUUAGCAUCGUAAAAAGAGGAUAAAGUUGCCAUCACUCAAGUUGCUAAAAAAAUUACAGUGCAAACGUGAUGUUUACAAAGGUAUGGAAUGGGUUCGUAAAAGUUGUUGAGCUUGGGGAAACAAUUGACAAUAGUUGAUUCCAUGAAAACAUUAUGGGGAACUUGCCACCUACAAACAGCUAAACUGGUCAAACCCCUAGGUCGUGCGAGGAAAACAUCGGCUGUUCUGACAUAUCUGUCAGUAGACCCAGAAGGAAAAAAGUGUUGCUAAUAAGUUGCCAUCUAACAAUAACUAAAUUGACCAUGUGGUAGAGUUCUAACAAUAACUAGAAUCACAUUGCGUUUAAAAGUUGCCUCCUGAGACCAACAAAACUAACCAUGGAAGAAGCAUAAUGAACAGUUUAUUGCAAAAAAUAGCUUCCAUCCCAUAAUGGGAAAAGUUGCCACCUCCAGCCAAAGUAAGUAAGCAUCACACAUUGUGAGGAAAAAAAGGAAAUACAACACCGCGCUUACGAACAACGAUACAGUUGGCAACAGGAACUUGCCAUCUGACAAAAAUACUGAAAAUUGCCAUGUCACGCACGUGUACGAAGACUACACAUCAGGCAACAAAAAUACCUUCUUUGGAGCACGUUUACCAGCAUCAACAUCGUCCCUUUUAUCAGGCAUGAAAUCGUCGGCAUCAUCAUCAUGCGCGUUGCGGGCCAUUUUCUCUGGAAGUAAACAAUAACAAACGAAACAUAUCAGCAAACAAAAGACGGUAUUGAUAAUGAGAGUAGGAAAACAUGACAAUUUUCUGACAAAAAAACGAAGAAGCACGAAGUUGCCAUCCUCUAUGAAGUAAAGUUGCCAUCCCCUAUGAACUAAAGUUGCCAUGUGAAAAGGUUCGGGAUGAAUACCACCACUGUAAGAAAUGGAGCUAUGUUGCAGAUUUCCAAGUAAAUGGCAGUCUACUCCACUAAGAUCAUGAUGGCAUAGAACUACAUGAGUGCACGAUGGAGGUGACCUUCAGUAAAAAAUGAUACAAAUAGCGAGAAUUAAGCCAUCAAGAUGGCAGUAGUUAUGAGAUCUUACACGCGCCACAGUAGAAAUUGACACAAAAACAACAUGAAUCUGAACGAAUAGUUGGGCGCGCACAAACCUACGUGAGCACAAAAUCGCACAAUGAAAAAUAUAUCGCCAUGUACAACCCCAUGGAGAUGUCUCAUAUGGGACGCGCGGUGAACCUAUAACCUCGACGGCGCACCAAAAUGCAGCCGUGGGCAACCUUGUAACACUCCGGGACAAAGCGGAGUGGCUGCGUCGUGAUGACAAGGGGGGAGAGAUGGAGAGAUGCCCAGAUCUGCGAAAACGAACCUCAGGACGCAGAAGAACAGUCGACGUCGCCGGUGACGACGAUGUUGCAGAUGCAGAAAGCUGCCGACCAACAGCACCUCGCAUAGACGAUCUCGAGGGAUAUCCGUGACCGUCGCCCGUUCAUGCACAACUUGGAUACCCCAUCGUUGAGAAGCCGCUCGACGCCGGAUCGAUUGCGGGAGGACACAAACGCCGGCGGCGGCGGCGGAUUCGAGCUCCUCCGAUGCGUCACCACGGCGGAUGGCGCUAGAUUGCGGGAAUAACCGCGGAGGAGGGUGCUAGAUUGGGGGAGUGUAACGGAUAUGCGAGGCGGAGACGACGGGAUAGAGUAAGUGCGGGUGGUUGCGCGACG
RNAcentral lists this long non-coding RNA (3061 nucleotides) under Triticum aestivum (bread wheat). RNAcentral's name for it is "long non-coding RNA (TAES_LNC026217)". The record is from RNAcentral. Lineage: Eukaryota; Viridiplantae; Streptophyta; Magnoliopsida; Poales; Poaceae.